GUACUUGCUUUGGCAGCACAUACACUAAAACUGGAAUGAUACAGAGAUUAGCAUGGCUCUUGUGCGAGGAUGACACAUAAAUUUGUGAAGUGUUCCAUAUUUAA
This is a small nuclear RNA of Pongo pygmaeus (Bornean orangutan), 104 nucleotides long. Lineage: Eukaryota; Metazoa; Chordata; Mammalia; Primates; Hominidae. The record is from RefSeq and is a predicted model, not a curated record.